RNAcentral lists this long non-coding RNA (565 nucleotides) under Struthio camelus australis. RNAcentral describes it as "lncRNA (ENSSCUG00000003550.1)". The record is from RNAcentral. Lineage: Eukaryota; Metazoa; Chordata; Aves; Struthioniformes; Struthionidae.
UUUUUUUUUAAAUUUUAACCAUUUUUGAUGUAACUUGCUAAAUAUUGUGAAAUAUUGAAUAGUCAGGGAAACCGAUAUUUAAAAUAUAAAUCCUUUAAAAAUUUCAGACAAAAAAAAUUCACCUAAAUCAUAAAUUAAUUUCAAGCAUUGUUUCUAAUACAUCUUUUAUUGUGCACAGAUAAUUGCUGCUAUCGCCUCUCUCAUCUUGGUAAAGUGGGUGUUACGAGCUUCAGUGCAGUGCCUAGAAAUAGAGAAGAACUGCAAGGCGUUGGAGACCGAUACAAAAUCCUGAUCUGCAUCUACUAAUUUAUGGCCGUGGGAGCCUUAUCUUUCAGAGGAACUGGGAAGGUGGAUAAAACAUCAGGAAAUCUUGCAGAGUGCCUGCUUCUCCCUUCAGCCCCCAAUGAAGCAAAAGCAGCAGAAUCUUUUCUAGAUGGAACUUGCUUGACUGAAACGGCUGGAAGGCUGACGUGUGGCAAGAUCUGCAGUCAUACGUCAUGAAGCUGAAUCUUCCUCCUCUUAAACAGUGACAGCUCUUUUCCGUGGAGUUUUUCCUAGCCUUCAU